CCUACGGGAGGCAGCAGUGAGGAAUAUUGGUCAAUGGACGAGAGUCUGAACCAGCCAAGUAGCGUGAAGGAUGACUGCCCUAUGGGUUGUAAACUUCUUUUAUAUGGGAAUAAAACGUUCCACGUGUGGGAUUUUGUAUGUACCAUAUGAAUAAGGAUCGGCUAACUCCGUGCCAGCAGCCGCGGUAAUACGGAGGCUCCGAGCGUUAUCCGGAUUUAUUGGGUUUAAAGGGAGCGUAGGUGGAUUGUUAAGUCAGUUGUGAAAGUUUGCGGCUCAACCGUAAAAUUGCAGUUGAAACUGGCAGUCUUGAGUACAGUAGAGGUGGGCGGAAUUCGUGGUGUAGCGGUGAAAUGCUUAGAUAUCACGAAGAACUCCGAUUGCGAAGGCAGUUCACUGGACUGCAACUGACACUGAGGCUCGAAAGUGUGGGUAUCAAACAGGAUUAGAUACCCCAGUAGUC
This 460-nucleotide ribosomal RNA is filed under the name uncultured bacterium. Its description in RNAcentral is "partial 16S ribosomal RNA". It matches the Rfam family "Bacterial small subunit ribosomal RNA", at positions 338 to 795 of the family's 1533-position model. The record is from RNAcentral.